Molecule: non-coding RNA, 298 nt
Organism: Pelobates cultripes (western spadefoot toad)
Lineage: Eukaryota; Metazoa; Chordata; Amphibia; Anura; Pelobatidae
Source: the annotation of a GenBank genome assembly
UGCAUUGUCUGUUUCUGUGUAUGUGUGCAAAGGAUGCAUUGUCUUUGUGUGUAAGGGUUGCAUUGUGUGUGUGUAUGUAAUGGAUGCAUUGUGUGUUUCUCUGUGUGUAAGGGAAGCAUGUUGUGUUUCUGUGUAUGUAUAGGGAUGCAUUGUGUGUGUGUGCGCGCGUAGUGUGAAAGAGCUCCCUGUCUUGGCCCCUGUCCUAUAGAGCUGCCCCUUCUUCUUAUUCCCUCCCCUCUUCUUAUUCCCCUCCCUCCCCUCUUCUUAUUCCCCUCCCUCCCCUCAUCUUAUUCCCCCC